GGGGGCGUACUGGUUUCGACGGGGACAUGGGUGCGGGAAUAGCGGGCGGAUGUGUCUGCCAUCCUUAAAACAGGCAACUUAUAAAUUAAAGAACGACGACAACGAAGUUCUUGCCGCUGCUUAAUUAAGCGGCUGUCCUCCCCGGAAGGACCACGAGCCGGGCUAGGGCAUGAUCUUAGUGGUGCACGUGACCGGGGUAAGCUUUGCCCCCGGCAUGACCCAUGAAGCUACCAACCCAUGCAGCAUGACGGUUUGCGGCAUGGCGCGGGAAUAGAAACAACCGUCUGCGCCCGGAGAGGUUCCCGAGGAAGUGUUUUCGGACGGGGGUUCGACUCCCCCCGCCUCCACCA
RNAcentral lists this transfer-messenger RNA (350 nucleotides) under Evtepia sp. It matches the Rfam family "transfer-messenger RNA". Rfam says of the family: Bacterial tmRNA, also known as 10Sa RNA or SsrA, is named for its dual tRNA and mRNA-like properties. Lineage: Bacteria; Bacillati; Bacillota; Clostridia; Eubacteriales. The record is from RNAcentral.